CAGUAGCCACGGUAAUACGUAGGGGGCAAGCGUUAUCCGGAAUUACUGGGUGUAAAGGGAGCGUAGACGGUUAAACAAGUCUGAAGUGAAAUGCCGGGGCUCAACCCCGGAGCUGCUUUGGGAACUGUAGAACUGGAGUGUCGGAGGGGUAAGCGGAAUUCCCAGUGUAGCGGUGAAAUGCGUAGAUAUUGGGAGGAACACCGGCGGCGAAGGCGGCUUACUGGACGACAACUGACGCUGAGGCUUGAAAGCGUGGGGAGCAAACAGGAUUAGAUACCCCAGUAGUCCCUGUCUCUUAUAC
Molecule: ribosomal RNA, 301 nt
Filed under: uncultured bacterium
Lineage: Bacteria
Description: partial 16S ribosomal RNA
Rfam family: Bacterial small subunit ribosomal RNA
Source: RNAcentral